RNAcentral lists this ribosomal RNA (435 nucleotides) under uncultured bacterium. Its description in RNAcentral is "partial 16S ribosomal RNA". It matches the Rfam family "Bacterial small subunit ribosomal RNA", at positions 28 to 507 of the family's 1533-position model. The record is from RNAcentral.
GAUGAACGCUGGCGGUAUGCUUAACACAUGCAAGUCGAACGGACUCUUCGGAGUUAGUGGCGGACGGGUGAGUAACGCGUGAGAAUCUGGCUUUGGGUUCGGGACAACCACUGGAAACGGUGGCUAAUACCGGAUGUGCCGAGAGGUAAAAGAGAAAUUGCCUGAAGAUGAGCUCGCGUCUGAUUAGCUAGUUGGUGAGGUAAAGGCUCACCAAGGCAGCGAUCAGUAGCUGGUCUGAGAGGAUGACCAGCCACACUGGGACUGAGACACGGCCCAGACUCCUGCGGGAGGGAGCAGUGGGGAAUUGUCCGAAAGGGGCGAGAGCCUUACAGAGCAAUACCGCGUGAGGGAAGAAGGCUCUUGGGUUAUAAACCUCUUUUCUUAGGGAAGAACAAAAUGACGGUACCUAAGGAAUCAGCAUCGGCUAACUCCGUG